AUCGCUUUGCGGCCUCUUUGGCUAGAUUCAAGUGUAGUAUCUGUUCUUUCAGUUCUAUCUGAUACGUCCCCUACCCGGGGACCAUAUAGUUAAAUUGAUUUUUGGAAAGCAGGGAGAAUUGGAAUUAGGGGCUUGCUUCCGUCCACUCCACGCAUCGAUUGGGAUAUUGCAGUCUUCUGGACGGGUUGCAUCCAAC
This 196-nucleotide small nuclear RNA is filed under the name Neogobius melanostomus (round goby). RNAcentral describes it as "U2 spliceosomal RNA (ENSNMLG00000002621.1)". It matches the Rfam family "U2 spliceosomal RNA". Rfam says of the family: U2 is a small nuclear RNA (snRNA) component of the spliceosome (involved in pre-mRNA splicing). Complementary binding between U2 snRNA (in an area lying towards the 5' end but 3' to hairpin I) and the branchpoint sequence (BPS) of the intron results the bulging out of an unpaired adenosine, on the BPS, which initiates a nucleophilic attack at the intronic 5' splice site, thus starting the first of two transesterification reactions that mediate splicing. Lineage: Eukaryota; Metazoa; Chordata; Actinopteri; Gobiiformes; Gobiidae. The record is from Rfam by way of RNAcentral.